Non-coding RNA from Caenorhabditis elegans, 160 nucleotides. The record is from Ensembl. NCBI's taxonomy places the organism in Eukaryota, Metazoa, Nematoda, Chromadorea, Rhabditida, Rhabditidae.
UCUUUUCGUGUUCAUUUCUGAUAUAAAUGCAUAAAUAGAGGACGAUCUUGUUGCGUAAAAAGGAAAAGAGAAUGAAAGAAAUAGGGAGAGAGAGAGAGAGGACAGCUACUUCUGAUGCAAAAACAAUUGCGGCAAUUCAUUGUGACUCUGAAAAGCGGGA